This 422-nucleotide ribosomal RNA is filed under the name uncultured Mollicutes bacterium. Its description in RNAcentral is "bacterial SSU rRNA". It matches the Rfam family "Bacterial small subunit ribosomal RNA", at positions 53 to 468 of the family's 1533-position model. Lineage: Bacteria; Bacillati; Mycoplasmatota; Mollicutes. The record is from RNAcentral.
ACAUGCAAGUCGAACGCUGGAGAUCUAGCUUGCUAGAUCGAAGGAGUGGCGAACGGGUGAGUAAUACAUAAGCAACCUACCCACGAAGACUGGGAUAAUCUCUGGAAACGGGGACUAAUACCGGAUAGGUAAUCGGAAGGCAUCUUCUGAUUAUUAAAGGUUAAAAACACUGGUGGAUGGGCUUAUGGCGCAUUAGUUAGUUGGUGAGGUAACGGUCCACCAAGACGAUGAUGCGUAGCCGGCCUGAGAGGGUGAACGGCCACAUUGUGACUGAGACACGGCCCAGAACUCCUACGGGAGGCAGCAGUAGGGAAUUUUCGGCAAUGGGGGAANACCUGAACGAGCAACGCCGCGUGAGUGAAUGACCGCCUUCGGGUUGUAAAGCUCUGUUGUACGCGGAAGAACGGUAGAUAGAGAAUAUC